GAUGAACGCUGGCGGCGUGCCUAACACAUGCAAGUCGAGCGGAAGGACGGGAAGCUUGCUCUCUUGAUGUUAGCGGCGGGCGGGUGAGUAACACGUGGAUCACCUACUUCUAAGUCUGGGAUGAUUUCGGGAAACAGGAGCCACUAAUGGCUCAUAUUUUGUACCGCAUGGAUCAAAAGAGCAAGAGGGCUUUGCCGUUUCUAUUAGACGGAUCCGGGUUGCAUUGGCUAGUUGGUAAGGUCCCGGCUUACCAAGGCGACGAUGCGUAGCCGACCUGAGAGGGUGAUCGGCCACACUGGAACUGAGACACGGUCCAGACUCCUACGGGAGGCAGCAGUGGGGAAUCUUGCGCAAUGGGCGAAAGCCUGACGGAGCAACACCGCGUGAGUGAUGAAGGUCUUCGGAUCGUAAAACUCUGUUAUUAGGAAAGAACAGAUGUGUAAGUAUCUGUGGACAUCUUGACGGUACCUAAUCAGAAAGCAACGGCUAACUACGUG
Molecule: ribosomal RNA, 497 nt
Filed under: uncultured bacterium
Lineage: Bacteria
Description: partial 16S ribosomal RNA
Rfam family: Bacterial small subunit ribosomal RNA
Source: RNAcentral